Molecule: ribosomal RNA, 363 nt
Filed under: uncultured bacterium
Lineage: Bacteria
Description: bacterial SSU rRNA
Rfam family: Bacterial small subunit ribosomal RNA
Source: RNAcentral
UGGGGGCAACCCCUAGUAGAGCGGCGCACGGGUGCGUAACACGUGGAUAAUCUGCCUGGAAGACUGGAACAACCUGCCGAAAGGCUGGCUAAUACCAGAUAAGCUCACGGGCUCUUCGGAGCCUGAGAGAAAAGGUGGCCUCUGUAUACAAGCUAUCACUUCCAGAUGAGUCCGCGGCCCAUCAGCUAGUUGGCGGGGUAAUGGCCCACCAAGGCUACGACGGGUAGCUGGUCUGAGAGGACGAUUAGCCACACUGGAACUGAGACACGGUCCAGACUCCUACGGGAGGCAGCAGUGGGGAAUUUUGCACAAUGGGCGAAAGCCUGAUGCAGCAACGCCGCGUGUGUGAUGAAGGUCUUCGGA